RNAcentral lists this ribosomal RNA (520 nucleotides) under Anguilla japonica (Japanese eel). RNAcentral's name for it is "partial 16S rRNA". It matches the Rfam family "Bacterial large subunit ribosomal RNA", at positions 1924 to 2577 of the family's 2925-position model. The record is from RNAcentral. Lineage: Eukaryota; Metazoa; Chordata; Actinopteri; Anguilliformes; Anguillidae.
UUAACGGCCGCGGUAUCCUGACCGUGCGAAGGUAGCGUAAUCAUUUGUCUUUUAAAUAGAGACCUGUAUGAAUGGCAUAACGAGGGUUUAACUGUCUCCUUCCCCUAGUCAAUGAAAUUGAUCUGCCCGUGCAGAAGCGGACAUAAAUACAUAAGACGAGAAGACCCUAUGGAGCUUUAGACAAAAGAUCAAACAUGUAAAGAAACCAAGUUAACCAAAAGGAACACAAAGGCCACGAAACCCGACGUAAACUGAUCCAAAUGUCUUCGGUUGGGGCGACCAUGGGGGAGAAAAAAGCCCCCACGAGGAACAGGGACUAAUCCCUAAGCCAAGAGAGACAUCUCUAAGCAACAGAAAAUCUGACCAAAAGUGACCCAGAAUACUAAUUCUGAUCAACGAACCAAGUUACCCUAGGGAUAACAGCGCAAUCCUUUCCCAGAGUCCAUAUCGACGAAAGGGUUUACGACCUCGAUGUUGGAUCAGGACAUCCUAAUGGUGCAGCCGCUAUUAAGGGUUCGUU